RNAcentral lists this long non-coding RNA (944 nucleotides) under Brassica rapa (field mustard). RNAcentral's name for it is "long non-coding RNA (BRAP_LNC004290)". Lineage: Eukaryota; Viridiplantae; Streptophyta; Magnoliopsida; Brassicales; Brassicaceae. The record is from RNAcentral.
GAACAUUUAAUAGAUACAACAGUGACACGAUGCUUCCAAACACAUUCGUAGGACAGACUGAUUCGCUAGCUUUUCUCCACUUCGUUCUUGGUCUUGUAAGAUCUUUCUUGUAGCUCUUAGUUCUUGUGAGCAAACGCCGUUUUUCUUUAAGAAGAUCAUUGGAUGUGAUCCAUCUGUUACAUCGCGAUCCAUCCAUGGCAUUAAAAUUAUUUUGCUUUGAAACCAAUAAAACCAUAUUUUCCAAUUGUUUUGUUGUAGAAACAUCUGCGGAUUUACCCUUCUUGUCCACAAUCCAUACUUCUCUUUCACCAUACCAAUCAAACUCAAAAUGGUUUGAAAAAGUGCAGGUUGAGUAAAUAAAUGGAAUAGUGUUUGACUUCUUGCUUUCCCGGAUAUAAACCUCCAAUAUAAUCCAAUAAAUACAUACGGUACCUUCAAAACCGAGAAUGGCGAGUGCAUCAAUCCCUUAAUAUCUCCUGGCCAUGGCGCCUUUUGAUGUAGAAACUGUGUGUGCUCAAAUCGAGAUCCUCGAGAGAAUAUACAAACAUGCAUCAUGUGCAAAAGAAAGCCAUCGAUACUGUAAUGCCUGACAAGGGAUUCCAACACCGGAGAAUAACACUCCACUUGGGAGAAGAGACGCAUGUCCAUCAUUCGCCACAAACCCAUUGAUCUUCUCGUGCAAAUACUCAGGAUUGUCCAGAUGAUAACUGAUAUAUCCAUGACCAUAAUCCUAGUUGAUAAACGCCAGUGAAGAAGCCAGGAUGACCGCAAAUGGUGAGACAGCAACAAAACACGAAACUUGAUGUCCAAUUCAACAUGAAUUGGUUUGAUUACUAAACUAAUACUAACUAAAGAAAAUAAACAAGAGAAACCGACGGCCGAAGCCGCCGGACACGGAAACCUCGGUGAAAAAGAGGUGUUUAACUGUGGAUUUGAGAUUCGCC